Molecule: microRNA, 24 nt
Filed under: Solanum tuberosum (potato)
Lineage: Eukaryota; Viridiplantae; Streptophyta; Magnoliopsida; Solanales; Solanaceae
Description: stu-miR8017
Source: miRBase by way of RNAcentral
AUCCAAGUGAAGUGUAUCGUCUCA